RNAcentral lists this non-coding RNA (25 nucleotides) under Cricetulus griseus (Chinese hamster). Lineage: Eukaryota; Metazoa; Chordata; Mammalia; Rodentia; Cricetidae. The record is from RNAcentral.
AGGCAUUAGAUCUGACUGGGACAAU